AUGAUUAGGUUUCAAGUAAUUUACAAUAUUUAUAGUACACACACCUCCUCCUCAUGGAACAUUAUAAUAUUUAUAGUACACACCUCCUCCUCAUGGAACAUUAUAAUAUUUAUAGUACACACCUCCUCCUCCUCCUGGAAUAUUAUAAUAUUUAUAGUACACACCUCCUCCUCCUCAUGGAAUAUUAUAAUAUUUAUAGUACACACCUCCUCCUCCUCAUGGAAUAUUAUAAUAUUUAUAGUACACACCUCCUCCUCCUGGAAUAUUAUAAUAUUUAUAGUACACACCUCCUCCUCCUCAUGGAACAUUAUAAUAUUUAUAGUACACACCUCCUCCUCAUGGAACAUUAUAAUAUUUAUAGUACACACCUCCUCCUCCUCAUGGAAUAUUAUAAUAUUUAUAGUACACACCUCCUCCUCCUGGAAUAUUAUAAUAUUUAUAGUACACACCUCCUCCUCAUGGAAUAUUAUAAUAUUUAUAGUACACACCUCCUCCUCCUGGAAUAUUAUAAUAUUUAUAGUACACACCUCCUCCUCAUGGAAUAUUAUAAUAUUUAUAGUACACACCACCUCCUCCUCAUGGAACAUUAUAAUAUUUAUAGUACACACCUCCUCCUCCUCCUGGAACAUUAUAAUAUUUAUAGUACACACCUCCUCCACAUGUUAUAUUAUAAUAUUUAUAGUACACACCUCCUCCUCCUCAUGGAACAUUAUAAUAUUUAUAGUACACACCUCCUCCUCCUCCUGGAACAUUAUAAUAUUUAUAGUACACACCUCCUCCACAUGUUAUAUUAUAAUAUUUAUAGUACACACCUCCUCCUCCUCCUGGAACAUUAUAAUAUUUAUAGUACACACCUCCUCCUCAUGGAACAUUAUAAUAUUUAUAGUACACACCUCCUCCUCCUCAUGGAAUAUUAUAAUAUUUAUAGUACACACCUCCUCCUCAUGGAACAUUAUAAUAUUUAUAUUACACACCUCCUCCUCAUGUUAUAUUAUAAUAUUUAUAGUACACACCUCCUCCUCAUGGAAUAUUAUAAUAUUUAUAUUACACACCUCCUCCUCAUGUUAUAUUAUAAUAUUUAUAGUACACACCUCCUCCUCAUGGAAUAUUAUAAUAUUUAUAUUACACACCUCCUCCUCAUGUUAUAUUAUAAUAUUUAUAGUACACACCUCCUCCACAUGGAACAUUAUAAUAUUUAUAGUACACACCUCCUCCACAUGGAACAUUACAAUAUUUAUAUUACACACCUCCUCCUCCUCAUGGAACAUUAUAAUAUUUAUAGUACACACCUCCUCCUCAUGUUAUAUUAUAAUAUUUAUAGUACACACCUCCUCCUCAUGGAACAUUAUAAUAUUUAUAGUACACACCUCCUCCUCAUGGAAUAUUAUAAUAUUUAUAGUACACACCUCCCCCUCAUGGAACAUUAUAAUAUUUAUAGUACACACCUCCCCCUCAUGGAACAUUAUAAUAUUUAUAGUACACACCUCCUCCUCCUGGAACAUUAUA
This 1506-nucleotide long non-coding RNA is filed under the name Salmo trutta (river trout). RNAcentral describes it as "lncRNA (ENSSTUG00000014333.1)". Lineage: Eukaryota; Metazoa; Chordata; Actinopteri; Salmoniformes; Salmonidae. The record is from RNAcentral.